GCCGGGCACAGUGAUGCACCCCUGUAAUCCCAGUGGCUGGGGAGGCUGAGGCAGGAGGAUCACGAGUUCAAAGCCAGCCUCAGCAACUUAGCAAGGUCCUUAGCAACUCAGUGAGACCCUGUCUCUA
RNAcentral lists this small RNA (127 nucleotides) under Marmota monax (woodchuck). Lineage: Eukaryota; Metazoa; Chordata; Mammalia; Rodentia; Sciuridae. The record is from RNAcentral.